GCCAGGCACGGUGGCGCAUGCCUGUAGUCCCAGCUACUCGGGAGGCUGAGGUGGGAGGAUCCCUUGAGCCCAGGAGUUCUGGGCUGUAGUGUGCUAUGCUGAUUGGGUGUAUGCUCUAAGUUCGGCAUCAAUAUGGUGACAUCCCAGGAGCAGGGGACCACCAGGUUGCCUACGGAUGGGGGAACCGGUCCAGGUCGGAAACGGAGCAGGUCAAAACUGCCGUGCUGAUCAGUACUGGGAUCGCACCUGUGAAUAGCCACUGCACUCCAGCCUGGGCAACACAGCGAGACCCCAGCUCU
RNAcentral lists this signal recognition particle RNA (299 nucleotides) under Cebus imitator (Panamanian white-faced capuchin). RNAcentral's name for it is "Metazoan signal recognition particle RNA (ENSCCAG00000004845.1)". It matches the Rfam family "Metazoan signal recognition particle RNA". From Rfam's summary of the family: The signal recognition particle (SRP) is a universally conserved ribonucleoprotein. It is involved in the co-translational targeting of proteins to membranes. The eukaryotic SRP consists of a 300-nucleotide 7S RNA and six proteins: SRPs 72, 68, 54, 19, 14, and 9. The record is from RNAcentral. Lineage: Eukaryota; Metazoa; Chordata; Mammalia; Primates; Cebidae.